UAGAGUUUGAUCCUGGCUCAGGAUGAACGCUGGCGGCGUGCUUAAUACAUGCAAGUCGAACGGAGAGCAAGCAAUUGUUCUUAGUGGCGAACGGGUGAGUAACGCGUUGGUGACCUGUCCCGAAGAUGGGGAUAACAGUUCGAAAGGACUGCUAAUACCCGAUGUGGUUACGAGGGUUAGAGGCCUGGUAACUGAAGGAGCAAUCCGCUUUGGGAGGGGCCUGCGUCCCAUCAGCUAGUUGGUAGGGUAAAAGCCUACCAAGGCGAAGACGGGUAGGGGACCUGAGAGGGUGACCCCCCACACUGGCACUGAAACACGGGCCAGACACCUACGGGUGGCAGCAGUAGGGAAUAUUGCACAAUGGGCGAAAGCCUGAUGCAGCAACGCCGCGUGCGCGAUGAAGGCCUUCGGGUCGUAAAGCGCUUUUCGGGGAGAUGAGGAAGGACAGUAUCCCCGGAAUAAGGCUCGGCUAACUACGUGCCAGCAGCCGCGGUAAAACG
RNAcentral lists this ribosomal RNA (500 nucleotides) under uncultured bacterium. RNAcentral's name for it is "bacterial SSU rRNA". It matches the Rfam family "Bacterial small subunit ribosomal RNA", at positions 1 to 527 of the family's 1533-position model. The record is from RNAcentral.